UACGUAGGGAGCAAGCGUUGUCCGGAAUCAUUGGGCGUAAAGCGCGCGUAGGCGGCCUCAUAAGUCCGUUGUGAAAGUCAAAGGCUCAACCUUUGAAAGCCGAUGGAUACUGUGAGGCUAGAGUCCGGAAGAGGCGAGUGGAAUUCCUGGUGUAGCGGUGGAAUGCGCAGAUAUCAGGAGGAACACCAAUAGCGAAGGCAGCUCACUGGCCCGAUACUGACGCUGAGGCACGAAAGCGUGGGGAGCAAACAGG
This 253-nucleotide ribosomal RNA is filed under the name uncultured bacterium. RNAcentral describes it as "partial 16S ribosomal RNA". It matches the Rfam family "Bacterial small subunit ribosomal RNA", at positions 524 to 776 of the family's 1533-position model. The record is from RNAcentral.